ACCAACCGACGCGGGAGCUUGGGGCAACCAGGCUGAGAGGGCAGCUACAGCUGCUGCCGACCGCAUGAACCUGUCCGGGUAAUGCCGGCGUAGGGAGCGUUAAUGACGCCUG
This 112-nucleotide non-coding RNA is filed under the name Streptosporangium subroseum. RNAcentral describes it as "TPP sequence". It matches the Rfam family "TPP riboswitch aptamer (THI element)". From Rfam's summary of the family: Vitamin B(1) in its active form thiamin pyrophosphate (TPP) is an essential coenzyme that is synthesised by coupling of pyrimidine and thiazole moieties in bacteria. The previously detected thiamin-regulatory element, thi box was extended, resulting in a new, highly conserved RNA secondary structure, the THI element, which is widely distributed in eubacteria and also occurs in some archaea. Lineage: Bacteria; Bacillati; Actinomycetota; Actinomycetes; Streptosporangiales; Streptosporangiaceae. The record is from Rfam by way of RNAcentral.